This 1702-nucleotide ribosomal RNA is filed under the name metagenome. Its description in RNAcentral is "bacterial LSU rRNA". It matches the Rfam family "Bacterial large subunit ribosomal RNA", at positions 1238 to 2925 of the family's 2925-position model. The record is from RNAcentral.
GUUCUUAUAAGGAAGAAGCAUUACCGUAAGGAGAUGUGGACAUAUAAGAAGUGAGAAUGCCGGUAUGAGUAUCGAAAAGAAAGGUGAGAAUCCUUUCCACCGAAAGCCCGAGGGUUCCUGAGCAACGAUCGUCGACUCAGGGUAAGUCGGGACCUAAGCCGAGGCGGAGACGCAUAGGCGAUGGACAACAGGUUGAAAUUCCUGUACCGGAUGGAGUCAUUUGAGCGAAGGAGCGACGCAGGAGGGCACAUGAUCGCGCGGCUGGAAGAGCGCGUCCAAGUGCGUAUGCGUAGAGGGAGGCAAAUCCCCCUUUACAGAAGCAGAGACAUGAUGGGGAGUUAAAGGAGACUUUGACGAACUCAUGGAUCCCACACUGCCAAGAAAAACUUCUAGCGAGACGAAAUCCGCCCGUACCGUAAACCGACACAGGUAGGCGGGGAGAGAAUCCUAAGGUGCGCGGGAAAACCCUCGUUAAGGAACUCGGCAAAUUGCAUCCGUAACUUCGGGAGAAGGAUGACCCUGAGUAGGCGAAAGGGAGAAACCCCCGGAACAGAAAAGGGUGGCAGAAAAGAGGCCCAAGCAACUGUUUACCAAAAACACAGGUGCCUGCGAAAGCGAAAGCUGAAGUAUAGGUGCUGACGCCUGCCCGGUGCUGGAAGGUUAAGGAGAGAGGUCAGCGAAAGCGAAGCUUUGAACUGAAGCCCCAGUGAACGGCGGCCGUAACAAUAACGGUCCUAAGGUAGCGAAAUUCCUUGUCGGGUAAGUUCCGACCCGCAUGAAAGGCGUAAUGAUUUGGGCACUGUCUCAACGAGGGGCCCGGUGAAAUUGAAAUACCUGUGAAGAUGCAGGUUACCCGCGACUGGACAGAAAGACCCCAUGGAGCUUCACUGCAGCUUGAGAUUGAAUCCCGGUGACAUAUGCACAGGAUAGGUGGGAGGCUAAGAAGUAAUGCCUUUGGGUGUUACAGAGCCGAUGUUGGGAUACCACCCUUAUGUUGCUGAGAUUCUAACACGGAGACUAACAACCUCGUGGACCAUCUCAGGCAGGCGGUUUGACUGGGGCGGUCGCCUCCUAAAAUGUAACGGAGGCGCCCAAAGGUUCCCUCAGGCCGGACAGAAACCGGCCGAAGAGUGCAAAGGCAGAAGGGAGCUUGACUGCGAGACAGACAAGUCGAGCAGAGACGAAAGUCGGGCUUAGUGAUCCGGUGGUACUGAGUGGAAAGGCCAUCGCUCAACGGAUAAAAGCUACCCUGGGGAUAACAGGCUAAUCUCUCCCAAGAGUUCAUAUCGACGGGGAGGUUUGGCACCUCGAUGUCGGCUCAUCACAUCCUGGAGCUGGAGUAGGUUCCAAGGGUUGGGCUGUUCGCCCAUUAAAGUGGUACGCGAGCUGGGUUCAAAACGUCGUGAGACAGUUUGGUUCAUAUCCAUCGCGGGCGCAAGAAGUUUGAGGGAGGCUGCUCCUAGUACGAGAGGACCGGAGUGGACGGAUCAACGGUGUACCAGUUGUCACGCCAGUGGCACGGCUGGAAAGCCGCAUCCGGAAAGGAUAAACGCUGAAAGCAUCUAAGCGUGAAGCCCGUCCCGAGAUGAGACUUCUCAUCAGCAAUGAGUAAGACCCCUUAAAGACGAUGAGGUUGAUAGGCUGUGAGUGGAAGUGGCGCAAGUCAUGGAGCGACGCAGUACUAAUAGGUCGAGGUCUUACC